Molecule: long non-coding RNA, 677 nt
Organism: Physella acuta
Lineage: Eukaryota; Metazoa; Mollusca; Gastropoda; Physidae
Source: RefSeq, a predicted model, not a curated record
CUCUAAUAUUAAAUAAUAAAUAACGCUUCAUAAUUUAUUAAAUGCAAAUAAAACCGUUGUUGCUAAAUUAAAAUACAUUUGUUGAGAUGUAAACGAGGAGGUUCAAAGUAUUGGUAGAAAGGAUAUUGAUAGAGAAAAGAUACAGCCUGGAAAUAUGACUGUCUGGACUGACCCCUUUGAGAGGAAAAAGAGCUAAUGUGCCUGUAAAUGUUACUGAUGUUUUCUUAUGUUUGAAUGAUGGGUUAUAGAGAGUGUGGAUGCCUUUGAUUCAAGAGCUAAGUUGUUUGAAAUGUGUGAUUGUUGAACAGAAAACCAUGGAAUUAAAUAACUAAAAAUUAAUGUUCUCUAAGAUUAGUUAUAGAAAACAUACAUAAUGAAUAAGGUUAGCAUUAUGUAGUUGCACAUUUUAAAAUGUUUAGCAUUUAUACCUAUUUUUUUUAAUUAUAAUUUGUAAUAUUAAGUAGGUUUAGUCUAAGGUUAACCUGUUAAUAUGUUUUAAUUUAGUAUAAAACAGUAUAAAAUCAUCUGAUCUUGAAAUCUUAGAAAGCGUGCAUAAGCACUUUUAUAAUCAUUAGUAGAAAGAAAAAUUAUUGUUCAGUAAAAUAGUGUAUAAGUCAAAAGACCUGAAUAAAUGUAAAUAAUUGUGGUUAUUAUUAAACAUUUAUUUUUGAACACUG